Molecule: ribosomal RNA, 512 nt
Filed under: uncultured bacterium
Lineage: Bacteria
Description: partial 16S ribosomal RNA
Rfam family: Bacterial small subunit ribosomal RNA
Source: RNAcentral
GAUGAACGCUGGCGGCGUGCCUAAUACAUGCAAGUCGAACGAAACUUCUUUAUCACCGAGUGCUUGCACUCACCGAUAAAGAGUUGAGUGGCGAACGGGUGAGUAACACGUGGGCAGCCUGCCCAAAAGAGGGGGAUAACACUUGGAAACAGGUGCUAAUACCGCAUAACCAUAGUUACCGCAUGGUAACUAUGUAAAAGGUGGCUAUACUACCGCUUUUGGAUGGGCCCGCGGCGCAUUAGCUAGUUGGUAGGGUAAAGGCUUACCAAGGCAAUGAUGCGUAGCCGAAUUGAGAGGUUGAUCGGCCACAUUGGGACUGAGACACGGCCCAAACUCCUACGGGAGGCAGCAGUAGGGAAUCUUCCACAAUGGGCGAAAGCCUGAUGGAGCAACGCCGCGUGGGUGAAGAAGGUCUUCGGAUCGUAAAACCCUGUUGUUAGAGAAGAAAGUGCGUGAGAGUAACUGUUCACGUUUCGACGGUAUCUAACCAGAAAGCCACUGCUAACUACGUG